Molecule: ribosomal RNA, 900 nt
Filed under: uncultured bacterium
Lineage: Bacteria
Description: bacterial SSU rRNA
Rfam family: Bacterial small subunit ribosomal RNA
Source: RNAcentral
AGGGGGGGGGGCGUGCUUAACCUGCAAGUCGAACGGACUCAUAUUGAAACCUAGUGAUUUAUGAGUUAGUGGCGCAUUUAAAGAGUAACGCGUGGAUAACCUGCCGUAUACCGGGCCAUAACACUUAGAAAUAGGUGCUAAUACCGCAUAAGCGCACGGCUCCGCAUGGGGCAGUGUGAAAAACUCCGGUGGCAUACGAUGGAUCCGCGUCUGAUUAGCUAGUUGGCGGGGUAACGGCCCACCAAGGCAGCGAUCAGUAGCCGGCCUGAGAGGGUGGACGGCCACAUUGGGACUGAGACACGGCCCAAACUCCUACGGGAGGCAGCAGUGGGGAAUAUUGCACAAUGGGGGAAACCCUGAUGCAGCGACGCCGCGUGAGUGAAGAAGUAUCUCGGUACGUAAAGCUCUAUCAGCAGGGAAGAAAAUGACGGUACCUGACUAAGAAGCCCCGGCUAACUACGUGCCAGCAGCCGCGGUAAUACGUAGGGGGCAAGCGUUAUCCGGAUUUACUGGGUGUAAAGGGAGCGUAGACGGCAGCACAAGUCUGGAGUGAAAUCCCGGGGCUUAACCCCGGAACUGCUUUGGAAACUGUGCGGCUGGAGUGCAGGAGGGGUAAGCGGAAUUCCUAGUGUAGCGGUGAAAUGCGUAGAUAUUAGGAGGAACACCGGUGGCGAAGGCGGCUUACUGGACUGUAACUGACGUUGAGGCUCGAAAGCGUGAGGAGCAAACAGGAUUAAAUACCCUGGUAGUCCACGCCGAAAACGAUGAUUACUAAGUGUCGGGGGAUCAAGGUCCUCCGGUGCCGGCCCACACGCAUUUAAUAUUCCCCCCUGGGGAGUACGUUCGCAAAAAUGAAACUCAAAUGAAUUGAAGGGGAAACCCCCACAAUGGGGGGACCAU